Molecule: ribosomal RNA, 301 nt
Filed under: uncultured bacterium
Lineage: Bacteria
Description: partial 16S ribosomal RNA
Rfam family: Bacterial small subunit ribosomal RNA
Source: RNAcentral
CAGUAGCCGCGGUAAUACGUAGGGUGCAAGCGUUAAUCGGAAUUACUGGGCGUAAAGCGUGCGCAGGCGGUUAUAUAAGACAGAUGUGAAAUCCCCGGGCUCAACCUGGGAACUGCAUUUGUGACUGUAUAGCUAGAGUACGGCAGAGGGGGAUGGAAUUCCGCGUGUAGCAGUGAAAUGCGUAGAUAUGCGGAGGAACACCGAUGGCGAAGGCAAUCCCCUGGGCCUGUACUGACGCUCAUGCACGAAAGCGUGGGGAGCAAACAGGAUUAGAGACCCGCGUAGUCCCUGUCUCUUAUAC